GGACUACACGGGUUUCUAAUCCUGUUUGAUCCCCACGCUGUCGCACCUGAGCGUCAGAUACGAGCCAGUGAGCCGCCUUCGCCACCGGUGUUCUUCCCAAUAUCUACGAAUUUCACCUCUACACUGGGAAUUCCACUCACCUCUCUCGUCCUCAAGUCUUACAGUUUCAAUGGCAGUUCCGGAGUUGAGCUCCGGGCUUUCACCACUGACUUGGAAGACCGCCUGCGCGCGCUUUACGCCCAGUAAUUCCGAACAACGCUAGCCCCCUUCGUAUUACCGCGGCUGCUGGCAC
This 292-nucleotide ribosomal RNA is filed under the name uncultured bacterium. Its description in RNAcentral is "partial 16S ribosomal RNA". The record is from RNAcentral.